GUCUGGUCCAACAUUUUCAGCCUAGGCAAGUUGGGAACCAUGUAACUUUUAGAGAAACGAAACAAGAACAUAUUCCACCUAGAAAAGAGCACUUGCAAGAGAGAUAUUAUUCUAUAACAAAAACAGAAAAGAUCCAAAGAAUGUUAAGAAUUUCAAGGCUGAUACAUAUACUGCAAGGCAUAAACAUGAUCAAAAUAUGGAAAUAUAGAUGCCUUAAGAAUAGAUGUCUAUACAUAAAACAGAACUCAACAAGCAUAUCUAUAAACUGGUUUAGAAAGCAUAUGGCUAAUUCGUGGAGACAGAGAAUUGGGUACAUCGAAAUUGACAGUAGAAAUUUCAGCAGAGGUGACUGGUGAAUAGUUGCUGACAUUGCAACUGGGUUUCCGGACUGAUAGUAAGCAGUGUUGAUACAGUGAAAGUGAAACAGGCCGACCCGCUUCAUUAUGUAUGUCAGAUGCCAAAAAAAAUGAGUUCACAAGCAUCAUCCACUAUAACUAUUAACUAGCUCCAAAAAUGCUGACCAGGUUUCCCGGGGCAGAUAGUUAGGCAUGUUUAAUUUUUUAGCAGCAAAUUGACACCGGUGAAUAGACCAGUAGCCAUGAAUUUAUUAGGAUAAUUCACUCUAUGAAACUGCUAGCUUCAUCGAUACAUGGCAGCGUUCUAAUCAAGCUGACAAGGCAACAGUGUCAUUUCAGACUAGUACGAGACGCAUAGUUGGGCAGGCAGGAACGAUUCAUGAAAACAAGGGAGUGGCGAAGCCAAGCAUCAAAACCUUGAGGGAAGCGAGGACGCGAA
Molecule: unclassified non-coding RNA, 795 nt
Filed under: Zea mays
Lineage: Eukaryota; Viridiplantae; Streptophyta; Magnoliopsida; Poales; Poaceae
Description: misc RNA Zm00001eb002230
Source: RNAcentral